GCCAUAACUUCCCUAAUCAUGGUCUUCUUUUCCCAAGAAAACAUUUUUGCAUAAAUGUUAGAAAGCAUUACGUAAUUAGAUUCAUGCAUAGGCUCAUAUUUUAUCAGCUCUUUUGUUAUUUUUUCACCAAUCGUCAGCUCACCAUGAGCACGGCAAGCAGUAAUAAGUGUUCUCCAAAUUACCGGAUUUGGCUUAAUCGGCAUUCUCUUAACAAAAUCCAAUGCUUCUUGCACAUGUCCAGCUCUACAUAACAGAUCAACCAUGCAUCCG
Molecule: unclassified non-coding RNA, 270 nt
Filed under: Hevea brasiliensis (rubber tree)
Lineage: Eukaryota; Viridiplantae; Streptophyta; Magnoliopsida; Malpighiales; Euphorbiaceae
Source: RNAcentral